Eutrema salsugineum is the source of this 137-nucleotide small nuclear RNA. The record is from Rfam. Lineage: Eukaryota; Viridiplantae; Streptophyta; Magnoliopsida; Brassicales; Brassicaceae.
GUGUUCGUAGAAAGGAGAGAUGGUGGGCAUUUCCUAUGACAGAGACGGGAUUGACCUUCAGAUCUUUGAACACAUCUAUUAUAUUAAAACAGAAGCACUUUUAGUGCUUGUUUCCAAACACUCCCAAAAUAUUUUUU